Ananas comosus (pineapple) is the source of this 152-nucleotide long non-coding RNA. RefSeq lists it as uncharacterized. The transcript is spliced from 3 exons. NCBI's taxonomy places the organism in Eukaryota, Viridiplantae, Streptophyta, Magnoliopsida, Poales, Bromeliaceae. The record is from RefSeq and is a predicted model, not a curated record.
AUAAGAUUGAAGUUUGGAAAGGGGUUGAGGAGAUUUCGACCAGCAAGAAGCAGAGUUACAACAGGUAAUUCCCAUUCUUUGAGCUGAGUUGAUGAAGUGUGAAGCUGAAUUUGAGUACUUCUAUCUUCAGCAAAGUCGAAUUUUCCUGUGGG